GUUUGAUCAUGGCUCAGAUUGAACGCUGGCGGCAUGCUUAACACGUGCAAGUCGAACGGUAACAGGCUAGCUUGCUAGCGCUGACGAGUGGCGGACGGGUGAGUAACGCGUAGGAAUCUACCCAGUUGUGGGGGAUAGCCCGGAGAAAUCCGGAUUAAUACCGCAUACGCCCUACGGGGGAAAACAGGGGAUCUUCGGACCUUGUGCAAUUGGAUGAGCCUGCGUUAGAUUAGCUAGUUGGUGGGGUAAAGGCCUACCAAGGCGACGAUCUAUAGCUGGUCUGAGAGGAUGAUCAGCCACAUCGGGACUGAGACACGGCCCGGACUCCUACGGGAGGCAGCAGUGGGGAAUAUUGGACAAUGGGCGCAAGCCUGAUCCAGCAAUGCCGCGUGUGUGAAGAAGGCCUUCGGGUUGUAAAGCACUUUCAAUUGUGAAGAAGAGGUUGAUAUUAAUACUAUUGACCUUUGACGUUAACUUUAGAAGAAGCACCGGCUAACUCCGUGCCAGCAGCCGCGGUAA
Molecule: ribosomal RNA, 519 nt
Filed under: uncultured Leucothrix sp.
Lineage: Bacteria; Pseudomonadati; Pseudomonadota; Gammaproteobacteria; Thiotrichales; Thiotrichaceae
Description: bacterial SSU rRNA
Rfam family: Bacterial small subunit ribosomal RNA
Source: RNAcentral